GGUCCCAUAGCUCAGUUGGUUAGAGCGUCGUACUAAUAUUACAUUGAAGUUAUAUCUAGUCAAUGCGAAGGCCGGCGGUUCGAGCCCGCCUGGGACCA
Molecule: non-coding RNA, 98 nt
Organism: Daldinia loculata
Lineage: Eukaryota; Fungi; Ascomycota; Sordariomycetes; Xylariales; Hypoxylaceae
Source: the annotation of a RefSeq genome assembly